RNAcentral lists this transfer RNA (87 nucleotides) under marine eukaryotic metagenome. Its description in RNAcentral is "Selenocysteine transfer RNA". It matches the Rfam family "Selenocysteine transfer RNA". The record is from RNAcentral.
GGAAGAGCGUCAUCUCCGGUGGGGUGCGCGGCCUUCAAAGCCGUUGAGGUGCGAAUACGCGCCUGGUGGGUUCGACUCCUACCUCUU